Molecule: long non-coding RNA, 1547 nt
Organism: Monodelphis domestica (gray short-tailed opossum)
Lineage: Eukaryota; Metazoa; Chordata; Mammalia; Didelphimorphia; Didelphidae
Source: Ensembl
GGGACGGGAAGAGAAUAGGGCAGAUCAAGCAGCCAGGAUGCAUCUUGGGACGUGGGCCUCGCAUGCACGUCUUCCUGGCUGAGGUUGACUCCCUAGCCCUUUGGCCACACUGCGAUCGCAUGGAUAUGGGUACGUCCAGACAGCUGACGGAACUGGACCUGUGGCUCAACCGACUUCUUAGAGAAGGUAAAUCUGCUCAUUUUUAAGAGCAAAGUUGAGUCAACAGUGGAAUGAAAUACGUCUCUCAGAGGGAAAGAGCCAAGUCUAAGGAGUCCGAUGGAAAACUGCCACAGAAAGGCAAGAGGCAACGUUCUGCCACAAAAAUGUAAUUUGCAUCAUCAUCCGCAAUGGCACGCUGGAAACGCCCUUUGGGUAGUUCCGGGAAGGCCAGGUGUGGGGCUCCUCCCACUUGGCUGGGCCCAGAGCGCGGAUUCGUGAUCCCUCUUCAGAGAGCAGCUGAACUAAAGGGAGCCCAACUCAGACCCGGGGAUUCAAGGCCAGCCAUCCUCGGACUGCUCCUGGGACUUCUCCUUUGGACUUCUACUUUGAACUUCUUCUCUUUUGGAGUUUGUCUUUGGAGACUCUGUGUUGCUGAGCUGGAAUGAGGGAGGAGAGUUUUCCCCUGGAUCCUGUUUUGGCUUGCUGGGUGAGUAGCUGGUGUUCCUUUCUUGACUUCUGGAGAGACUGGUUCCAGAGAAGCCUUCCUUUCUUGGAUCAGGAUGCAUUGGUGUAACCCUUGCUGAAGACAUCACCAAGACUCCUAGCUUAAAAGACUACUAUGACUCCACAUGGAGAUCAGGACUUGAGAGCCCUUUCUGGGUGGUGACUGGACUUCUUUGGGCUAAAAUUAAAGGGUAUCUAGCUAGGCAAUAUUUCUCCUUCCUUCUCUCUUUUGCUAUAUCUCCAUUAAACUAAAUUGUUAAGAGCAAUUAACAGACUUGUGACUUAAGAGUUAAUUUUUUUAAUUGGUAACCACAAUAUUACUUUAGAACUUUCAUAUUUAGCAUAAAACCUAAAUUUUAAAUUCUUACAUGGGUUUCAUGUCCAGUGAAGCACCCUCAUUUGAGAGCAAGUCCAAGCUGCUUCUCAGUUAUUAGAGUAUCUUGAGGGUUACUAUCUAUUUAAUGUGUUAAGUUCUUGGUGGGGGAUAAACUGUCUUUACCCUACAGUGGCCUUGCCAUGGCAAACAGGGCAGAGCUAGGAUCUAGUCACUGUAUCUGAGGGAAAGAAGUGAGAUAGCUCAGCAGUGCUCAGACCAAGGGACUAAGUUCAAAGUUGUAGAUACAGGAUCAAAGUUCAGGGAUGACUGAAUUGGCAGCCAUAAUUCAGCCCCUCGUCUGCACAAGGCUAGAAUCUUCUUAGCUUUCUGGUAUAUGUACAACAUAUCUGUGUGUGUGUGUGUUUGCAUGCCUACUUGUGCCUGCCUCUCAUAUUCAGCAGGCUUCAGCAGCUCUUGUGGGCAACAACAGUCAUGCCUGGACCUUUCAGGUUUGAUAUAUUAUCAGGUCUCAUUUGGGAGGAGAGAAAGAGUUUUCUACUCCAAAGCA